This 28-nucleotide non-coding RNA is filed under the name Mus musculus (house mouse). The record is from RNAcentral. Lineage: Eukaryota; Metazoa; Chordata; Mammalia; Rodentia; Muridae.
AGUAGUCUAAUGAUAACCCUUUCCCCAC